This 200-nucleotide unclassified non-coding RNA is filed under the name soil metagenome. Its description in RNAcentral is "partial contains internal transcribed spacer 2 and large subunit ribosomal RNA". The record is from RNAcentral.
GCGUCAUUUCAACCCUCAAGCUCUGCUUGGUAUUGGGCCUUCGCCGGGUGACCGGCGGGCCUUAAAGUCAGUGGCGGCGCCGUUGGGUCCUGAACGUAGUAACAUACCUCUCGUUACAGGGUCCCCGCGUGCUUCUGCCAUUAAACCCCAAACUUUUUAUGGUUGACCUCGGAUCAGGUAGGGAUACCCGCUGAACUUAA